RNAcentral lists this ribosomal RNA (253 nucleotides) under uncultured bacterium. Its description in RNAcentral is "partial 16S ribosomal RNA". It matches the Rfam family "Bacterial small subunit ribosomal RNA", at positions 524 to 776 of the family's 1533-position model. The record is from RNAcentral.
UACAGAGGGUGCGAGCGUUAAUCGGAAUUACUGGGCGUAAAGCGCGCGUAGGCGGCUUUGCAAGUCGGGUGUGAAAUCCCCAGGCUUAACCUGGGAACUGCUGGGUAUACUGGCGGUCUUGAGCCACCUAGGGGCAACUGGAACAAGCGGUGGAGCGGUGAAAUGCGUAGAUAUCUGAAGGAACAUCAGUGGCGAAGGCGGAUCUCUGGGCCAUUACUGACGCUGAGGAGCGAAAGCGUGUGGAGCGAACAGG